This 159-nucleotide unclassified non-coding RNA is filed under the name soil metagenome. RNAcentral describes it as "partial internal transcribed spacer 1". The record is from RNAcentral.
ACGAGUUUUAAUUGUUAGGUUAGAGUUGAGCUGGUUAAUCUAAUUGAUAUGUGCUUACUCUAAUCGAAACAAGUCCACUCAUUACUUAGCACUUGUGAACUUAUUCAUUACAAACAUUAUUAUUUGUUAUUGGAACGUUUGAUUAUUAAAAAGUUAAUA